AUUGACCGCUGGCGGCAGGCCUAACCCAUGCAAGUCGAGCGGAGCGGCGGACGGGUGAGUAAUGCCUAGGAAUCUGCCUGGUAGUGGGGGAUAACGUCCGGAAACGGGCGCUAAUACCGCAUACUAUCAGAUGAGCCUAGGUCGGAUUAGCUAGUUGGUGGGGUAAAGGCCUACCAAGGCGACGAUCCGUAACUGGUCUGAGAGGAUGAUCAGUCACACUGCAACUGAGACACAGUCCAGACUCCUACAGAAGGCAGCAGUGGGAAAGAGUGGACAAUGGGCGAAAGCCUGAAGCAGCCAUGCCGCGUGUGUGAAGAAGGUCUUCGGAUAGUAAAGCAAUUUAAGUUGGGAGGCGUUACCAACAGAAUAAGCACCGGCUAACUUCGUGCCAGCAGCCGCGGUAAUUC
This 407-nucleotide ribosomal RNA is filed under the name uncultured bacterium. RNAcentral describes it as "partial 16S ribosomal RNA". It matches the Rfam family "Bacterial small subunit ribosomal RNA", at positions 30 to 526 of the family's 1533-position model. The record is from RNAcentral.